UCGAAUCGAGAUAAAAUUAUCCAAUAACCUGGGCGUGAGUUACAUGUGAAUCCAGAAUAUUUCACCCGCCGAACAUGAAUUCUCCGUCAGGGCAAUCCCGGCAGCACCACCCUGCAGCGCGUAAUCGCGGGAAGUUCCAAUCGGAGGCGGAGAGAUUGAGCGCCGACGUUGGAGGACUCGAAGCUUCGUUGUUUCAGAUGGUAAAUGAUCACCAGUACGCCUCUCUCAAGCUACGAGAGAACUCCGAGAAGGCGAAGAAAGAUGCUAUUCAGAAGGCUUUGCGCGUUUCGGAUCUCUUAGUCGAUGCCGUGAAUGGUGGAGUUCAGGGGUCUUUUGUCAAUCAGAAGUUGAUUGAGCUUGAAAUUAGGGCUUUAUCGACCACGAUUACCCGAUUUAUGAAGCAGACCGAUCAAUGGCUCGCCGCCACUCACGCUCUGAACACUGCUGUUAAGGAAAUUGGAGAUUUUGAGAACUGGAUAAAGACCAUCGAUUUCGAUUGUAAGAGCAUCACUACUGCCAUCCAUAACAUUUAUCAAGACUGAAGUACUCGUCGCAAAAGAGUGAACUGUUUUUUCCUUCACCGUGCUCAUUCCGGUGAGUUGAAAAAGAUAUAGAUCCUCACUCACUCUCUGCUUUAAGUUCACUGAAUGUGUGCCCCCAUUACAUGGCCUGAUAAGUUCUUGUGAUAUAACGAUACAAAGGUGCAGCAUAUCCAGAUGGAAAUUCCUAUAGAAACUUGGAGCACCUGAGUACCCAACUUCGCUGCUACCUCACUAACUCUGUAAAAUAAUUUGUCCACUCUUCUUUUUUUCGAGUUCAUUGAUUUCUUCCUUAUUUUAACACAGUGGUAUCAAUUUGUGUAUUUAUUGCUCAUGUACGCUCUUCAUAAUUAUCUGAAAUAUUUGUUGGGUUUAAAAUGUUUUGAUCUAAAUUUACUAUUGACCACAAAGUUCCUAUGGCUUAAUCGAAUCAUCUCCUUAAA
RNA transcript from Cucurbita maxima (winter squash), 982 nucleotides. It is a transcript of the gene named biogenesis of lysosome-related organelles complex 1 subunit 1, with no coding region annotated. The transcript is spliced from 4 exons. NCBI's taxonomy places the organism in Eukaryota, Viridiplantae, Streptophyta, Magnoliopsida, Cucurbitales, Cucurbitaceae. The record is from RefSeq and is a predicted model, not a curated record.